Molecule: ribosomal RNA, 655 nt
Filed under: uncultured organism
Description: bacterial SSU rRNA
Rfam family: Bacterial small subunit ribosomal RNA
Source: RNAcentral
CUGCCGCCUGUAGGUGAGUCCGCGUCUCAUUAGCUUGUUGGUGGGGUAAAAGCCUACCAAGGCUGCGAUGGGUAGCCGGCCUGAGAGGGUGAGCGGCCACACUGGGACUGAGACACGGACCAGACUCCUACGGGAGGCAGCAGUGAGGAAUAUUGGUCAAUGGACGCAAGUCUGAACCAGCCAUGCCGCGUGCAGGAUGAAUGCCCUAUGGGUUGUAAACUGCUUUCUACAAGAAGAAACUUCCUGAUGUAUCAGACUGACGGUAUUGUAGAAUAAGCAUCGGCUACCGUGCCACGCCGCGGUAAUACGGAGGAUGCAAGCGUUAUCCGGAUUCAUUGGGUUUAAAGGGUGCGUAGGCGGGGUAGUAAGUCAGUGGUGAAAGCCUGCGGCUUAACCGUAGAAUUGCCAUUGAUACUGCUAUUCUUGAGUGCAGUUGAGGUAGGCGGAAUGUGUAAUGUAGCGGUGAAAUGCUUAGAUAUUACACAGAACACCGAUUGCGUAGGCAGCUUACUAAACUGUAACUGACGCUGAGGCACGAAAGCGUGGGGAGCGAACAGGAUUAGAUACCCUGGUAGUCCACGCUGUAAACUAUGAUCACUCGCUGUUGGCGAUACAUUGUCAGCGGCUGAGCGAAAGCAUUAAGUGAUCCACCUGG